UCCUCUUUGAUCUGGAACGUGAGCGUGACAUUUUUUCUGAGAUUGCCUCAGACUGCCAGCUACUCUUCACACGGACUUAAUGAAGAUCUGCUCAGUCAGUGCAACACAGUGCUGAAGACAGACCAGAGGAGGAAGACCAUAUUCAAGGAAAGGUUCAGGCUCCAGUGAGGAUGGGCCAAACCUGGAUGAAAAUCCAAAAAGGAAUUUUCAGUUGCUGUUGCUUAUUGUUGGUGUGAGUGGGCAAUUCACACUAACUCACACGAAGUGUGUUGCUGAGCUCUUUUUUUUUUUAGUAAAGGUUGUAUUUAAUUUUUUGGUAUCAAAUGUUUUUAUGCUGUAUUUUUAUUUCAUUCCAGAUUAAAAGCCUGGAAAAUGU
Long non-coding RNA from Pygocentrus nattereri (red-bellied piranha), 376 nucleotides. RefSeq lists it as uncharacterized. The transcript is spliced from 3 exons. Lineage: Eukaryota; Metazoa; Chordata; Actinopteri; Characiformes; Serrasalmidae. The record is from RefSeq and is a predicted model, not a curated record.